This 2905-nucleotide unclassified non-coding RNA is filed under the name Hevea brasiliensis (rubber tree). Lineage: Eukaryota; Viridiplantae; Streptophyta; Magnoliopsida; Malpighiales; Euphorbiaceae. The record is from RNAcentral.
AUUCCAUGCCAUCGUUUGCCAAAAAUGGUUUAGGUACUGUGAAUCAAAAUUACAAAAAACAGUGUUUUUCACUUUCUCAUACGCACGCUCACGCACUCUGUAUCCCUUUCCUCCUCUGAAAACUCGAGACUCUCCAACAGUGAUCCUUCAAAACCCCACCGAUUUUAGGAUUUUCAUUUUUCAAAUAUCAACACUCUCUUUAUUUACUCCUUUGCCCUUCUCCGUGUGGAGAGAGAGAGUGAGAGAGAGCUGCAUUUUCUGUUUUCUCGGCCAUGGAGUAUUGUGGAGUGGUGGUGGUGGUAUUUUGAGUAAAUAAAGGAUGAUACAAUGGGCAGGAUUGGGAAUCGAUGGGAGUGAACAAGGCCUGGAGGUUUAGCGUGAUAUUGGCGAACCUGGCUCUAUUACAGCAACAAAACGGUAACCACAGCCCCAGCAGAGGCGACGGCAAGCAUCACCACCACCAUCACAGUCAUAAUGACUGCUGGAGGAGGUUGAGAUCCUGUGCGACGCAGCAGCGCAGGAAGAUCCCGUGGUCGCUAGUUUGCGGGUUAAUGCUGUUCAUUUUGGGAUUGAUUUCUCUUUUCACUGGACACGUGGCCUCUGAUCUUGAGUGGUACUCUCAGAGAUUAGUCACGCACAGCUUGGGCCGACUGGAUGGAAAUCGGCGUGAACCGAUUGAUAUAUGGAAAUCCAAGUACUCAAAGCUCUUCUAUGGAUGCACUGAAAGAGGACGUAAUUUUGCUCCUGCCAAACGCGAGCGGUCAUCAAAUGGCUAUUUGCUUAUUGCAGCAAGUGGAGGGCUGAACCAACAAAGAACCGGAAUAACUGAUGCCGUGGUUGUUGCACGGAUUCUUAAUGCUACAUUGGUUAUACCAGAGUUGGAUCAUCAUUCCUAUUGGAAGGAUGAUAGUGACUUUGUCAACAUUUUCGAUAUUGAUUGGUUCAUUUCCUACCUUGCAAAAGAUGUGACCAUUGUCAAAAGAGUUCCUGAUAAAGUCAUGCGAUCAAUGGAAAAACCACCAUAUACCAUGCGUGUUCCAAGAAAAUCACCCCCUGAAUAUUAUCUAGAUCAAGUUCUGCCUAUACUAUUGAGGAGACGUGUUGUGCAAUUGACCAAGUUCGAUUAUAGGCUUGCAAAUAACCUUGAUGAUGAACAGCUACAAAAGUUGCGUUGCCGAGUUAAUUAUCACGCUUUAAGAUUUGCAAAGCCCAUACAAGAUAUUGGUCAAAGACUUGUUAUGAAAAUGAGAAAGAUGGCAAAACAAUUUAUUGCAAUUCACUUGAGGUUUGAACCUGAUAUGCUUGCAUUUUCUGGAUGUUACUAUGGUGGAGGAGAAAAGGAGAAAUUUGAGCUAGGUGAAAUAAGAAAGAGAUGGGCAACAUUACCAGUGAGAUUGCUGUCCUUUAUGACUUUGACUUUUGAUUUAAAUUGAAGGAGAAAUUCUCAGUUCCCUGGAUUUUGACUAGUACGAGAAUUAUAUGAGAAUUAAGAACUCUUGAAAAAUUAUGUGGUCUGUAUUUGCUUUGAAUGUCACAUGUCACAAUUCUCUUCCAGUUGCAAGGAGAAAUGCUUGUUGAGAUGGAUUCUAAUGAAUUUAUUCUGCCUGUAAUUUGACAUGAAAUUUGUGCUUGUUCUUGAUGUUUUAGGAUUUAAGUGCAGAGGAAGAGCGAGCAAGAGGGAAAUGCCCACUUACCCCUCAUGAAGUGGGAUUGAUGCUGCGUGCUCUUGGAUUUGCUAAUGACACAUAUAUCUAUGUUGCAUCUGGAGAAAUAUAUGGUGGAGAAGACACUCUGCGGCCACUUAGAGAACUGUUUCCAAACUUCUACACGAAGGAGAUGCUUGCUAAUGAAGAGCUGAAACCUUUUCUUCCAUUUUCUUCCCGCCUGGCAGCCAUUGACUACAUAGUCUGUGAUGAAAGUGAUGUUUUUGUCACCAAUAAUAAUGGAAACAUGGCCAAGAUUCUUGCAGGUCGAAGGAGGUAUGCAGGGCAUAAGAGGACUAUCAGACCAAAUGCAAAGAGGCUGAGUGCAUUGUUAAUGGAGAGGGAUAAGAUGGACUGGGAUACAUUUGCUAAAAAAGUGAAAUCAUGCCAGAGAGGAUUCAUGGGGGAGCCGGAUGAGAUGAGACCUGGACGAGGUGAGUUCCAUGAAUAUCCAUCUCCUUGCAUCUGUGAGAAGCCAUUCAGUAAUGAAGAAAGCAACAAUGAUGAAGCUCACCUGUUGGAGCAAGUUACUAUUAACUCCAAGGCGAAAGUACCAACAAAAGUACAUGGAGUAGUAUCAAAGUGAGAAAAGCCUUGGAAAGUCCAAGAAGAGAAGCAUGGUAGAAGAAUCAAUAUAAUCUGGAGAGAGAUAUUGAGGGCGAUGAAAGCUUUCCUGAUAACAGAACUAAGACUAGGAUAUAUGGUGCACAGAAUUUAUUCUUAUAUGGAUCAAAUUUUCUCAGAUAAUUAUGGCUCAGCCUUUUCAUCUCUUCUGCUUGCAAACCUUCAGAUGUGAAGUUUUACUCGUGGGCAUCAUAACUGAAGCCUGCUCAAAUGUGGUGAAUGAGUUGUCUUCAGUUUCUCUGGCUGGAUCAAUGUAGAGAAGGGAUAUUUGAGGAGUUGCAAUUGUUCAUAAAAUAGUUUUUGCUAGGUACACGUUUUAGGUAUGCAAUUUGGAUUUGUUCAUUUUCUCUUGCCACGCUGUGGCUUCAGUUCUGUUAUGGUGGCAGUCGUGUUAAUGGGUCGCCAAAAAUGAACAUAUUUAAAGUAAUUUUCUUAGGCCACUCGCUCGUACCAAAUGAUCAUAUUCAUGCGACAUUCCGUAGUUCCAUUUUAUAAAACCAUCGCUUCACGAGCAUGACAAGAUUUACGCGUACCAUCGCUAUCAUCUAUCAUCCAUUAUGCUUUACAUGAGAUUCUAC